This 216-nucleotide long non-coding RNA is filed under the name Phaseolus vulgaris (common bean). RNAcentral describes it as "long non-coding RNA (PVUL_LNC000247)". Lineage: Eukaryota; Viridiplantae; Streptophyta; Magnoliopsida; Fabales; Fabaceae. The record is from RNAcentral.
AAUAAGUAUUUAAACAAGAGCCAAUUGUCAGAGUUAUAGGUAAAUUCAAAUGUAUAUACCAAAUUAUAGUGAAGGGGUUCAAGAUAUGCAUAAGUUCACUCCACAAGGUCGAAGAGGAUAACCUUCCCAUCAACAAUAUGGCUGAAAGGGCUGUAGUUGGAGAUGUCAAUCCCCAGGUUUUCAAAAAUGGCUUGAGCUAGGGCCUCCUUGAAACCC